GUUUAAUUUCUUUAUGGGAGUUCCCAAGGGUUCUUCUGUUUUAUGCUUGUUGAAAGAAAUGAAUGAGCAAAAAAUGCUUAUUAGGAGCAAUUGAUCUGAUCCUACAAGGAGCUCAAAAUCUGGUAGUACCAAUAAAUGCUAGACUCAAUUCCUCCAGUUCAAGAAGAAAACAGCAGCAGAAACUCUUGGUAACAACUAACACCCCCACAACCACCCACGGCGGCCGCGAAUUCUGCUGGCUAACUCAAGA
This 250-nucleotide unclassified non-coding RNA is filed under the name Hevea brasiliensis (rubber tree). Lineage: Eukaryota; Viridiplantae; Streptophyta; Magnoliopsida; Malpighiales; Euphorbiaceae. The record is from RNAcentral.